UCGAUGGGUCAGGUGCCAGG
This 20-nucleotide unclassified non-coding RNA is filed under the name Chlamydomonas reinhardtii. RNAcentral's name for it is "small RNA Cre_2656". The record is from RNAcentral. Lineage: Eukaryota; Viridiplantae; Chlorophyta; Chlorophyceae; Chlamydomonadales; Chlamydomonadaceae.